RNAcentral lists this ribosomal RNA (465 nucleotides) under uncultured bacterium. RNAcentral describes it as "partial 16S ribosomal RNA". It matches the Rfam family "Bacterial small subunit ribosomal RNA", at positions 28 to 507 of the family's 1533-position model. The record is from RNAcentral.
GAUGAACGCUGGCGGCGUGCUUAACACAUGCAAGUCGAACGGAAAGGCUCCUGCUUGCAGGGGUACUCGAGUGGCGAACGGGUGAGUAACACGUGGGUGAUCUGCCCUGCACUUCGGGAUAAGCCUGGGAAACUGGGUCUAAUACCGGAUAGGACCACAUUUUGGAUGGUGUGGUGGAAAGUUUUUCGGUGUGGGAUGAGCUCGCGGCCUAUCAGCUUGUUGGUGGGGUAAUGGCCUACCAAGGCGUCGACGGGUAGCCGGCCUGAGAGGGUGUACGGCCACAUUGGGACUGAGAUACGGCCCAGACGCCUACGGGAGGCAGCAGUGGGGAAUAUUGCACAAUGGGCGCAAGCCUGAUGCAGCGACGCCGCGUGGGGGAUGACGGCCUUCGGGUGGUAAACUCCUUUCGCUAGGGACGAAGCGCAAGUGACGGUACCUGGAGAAGAAGCACCGGCUAACUACGUG